Molecule: ribosomal RNA, 433 nt
Filed under: uncultured bacterium
Lineage: Bacteria
Description: partial 16S ribosomal RNA
Rfam family: Bacterial small subunit ribosomal RNA
Source: RNAcentral
AACGAACGCUGGCGGCAUGCCUAACACAUGCAAGUCGAACGAGACCUUCGGGUCUAGUGGCGCACGGGUGCGUAACGCGAGGGAACCUGCCCUUAGGUUCGGAAUAACUCCCCGAAAGGGGUGCUAAUACCGGAUAAUGUCUUCGGACCAAAGAUUUAUCGCCUUUGGAUGGGCCCGCGUUGGAUUAGCUAGUUGGUAGGGUAAAAGCCUACCAAGGCGACGAUCCAUAGCUGGUCUGAGAGGAUGAUCAGCCACACUGGGACUGAGACACGGCCCAGACUCCUACGGGAGGCAGCAGUGGGGAAUAUUGGACCAUGGGCGAAGGCCUGAUCCAGCAAUGCCGCGUGAGUUAUGAAGGCCUUAGGGUUGUAAAGCUCUUUUACCCGGGAUGAUAAUGACAGUACCGGGAGAAUAAGCUCCGGCUAACUCCGUG